AGCGAACGCUGGCGGUAGGCCUAACACAUGCAAGUCGAACGGCAGCACAGUAAGAGCUUGCUCUUACGGGUGGCGAGUGGCGUACGGGUGAGGAAUACAUCGGAAUCUACUUUUUCGUGGGGGAUAACGUAGGGAAACUUACGCUAAUACCGCAUACGACCUACCGGUGAAAGCAGGGGAACUUCGGACCUUGCGCGAAUGAAUGAGCCGAUGUUGGAUUAGCUAGUUGGGGGGGUAAAGGCCCACCAAGGCGACGAUCCGUAGCUGGUCUGAGAGGAUGGUCGGCCACACUGGAACUGAGACACGGUACAGCCUCCUACGAGAGGAAGCAGUGGGGAAUAUUGGACAAUGGGCGCAAGCCUGGUCCAGCCAUACCGAGUGAGUGACGGAGGCCUUCGGGUUGUAAAGCCCUUUUGUUGGGAAAGAAAAGCAGCAGGUUAAUACCCCGCUGUUCUGACGGUACCCAAAGAAUAAGCACCGGCUAACUUCGUG
This 492-nucleotide ribosomal RNA is filed under the name uncultured bacterium. Its description in RNAcentral is "partial 16S ribosomal RNA". It matches the Rfam family "Bacterial small subunit ribosomal RNA", at positions 29 to 507 of the family's 1533-position model. The record is from RNAcentral.